This 22-nucleotide microRNA is filed under the name Sarcophilus harrisii (Tasmanian devil). Its description in RNAcentral is "Sha-Novel-18-v2_3p (mature (guide))". The record is from RNAcentral. Lineage: Eukaryota; Metazoa; Chordata; Mammalia; Dasyuromorphia; Dasyuridae.
UCAGUCUCAUUACUUUAUAGUC